This 598-nucleotide ribosomal RNA is filed under the name Haploporus cf. subtrameteus KUC20121102-36. Its description in RNAcentral is "eukaryotic LSU rRNA". It matches the Rfam family "Eukaryotic large subunit ribosomal RNA", at positions 66 to 648 of the family's 3401-position model. The record is from RNAcentral. Lineage: Eukaryota; Fungi; Basidiomycota; Agaricomycetes; Polyporales; Polyporaceae.
UAACAAGGAUUCCCCUAGUAACUGCGAGUGAAGCGGGAAAAGCUCAAAUUUAAAAUCUGGCAGCCUUUGGUUGUCCGAGUUGUAUUCUGGAGAAGUGUUUUCUGCGCUGGACCGUGUACAAGUCUCUUGGAACAGAGCAUCAUAGAGGGUGAGAAUCCCGUCUUUGACAUGGACUACCAGUGCUUUGUGAUGCGCUCUCAAAGAGUCGAGUUGUUUGGGAAUGCAGCUCAAAAUGGGUGGUGAAUUCCAUCUAAAGCUAAAUAUUGGCGAGAGACCGAUAGCGAACAAGUACCGUGAGGGAAAGAUGAAAAGCACUUUGGAAAGAGAGUUAAACAGUACGUGAAAUUGCUGAAAGGGAAACGCUUGAAGUCAGUCGUGUUGUCUGGGACUCAGCCUUGCUUUUGCUUGGUGCAUUUUCCAGAUGACAGGCCAGCAUCAAUUUUGACUGUUGGAAAAGGGCUAGGGUAAUGUGGCACCUCUGGGUGUGUUAUAGACUCUGGUCAUAUACAGCAGUUGGGAUUGAGGAAUGCAGCACGCCGCAAGGCAGGGGUUCGCCCACUUUCGUGCUUAGGAUGCUGGCAUAAUGGCUUUAAACGAC